UAAGCAUAUCAAUAAGCGGAGGAAAAGAAACCAACCGGGAUUGCCCUAGUAACGGCGAGUGAAGCGGCAAAAGCUCAAAUUUGAAAUCUGGCAUCUUUGAUGUCCGAGUUGUAAUUUGAAGAGGUUACUUUGGAGGCUGGCUCUUGUCUAUGUUCCUUGGAACAGGACGUCAUGGAGGGUGAGAAUCCCGUCUGGCGAGAGUUUCAGUUUUCAUGUAAAGUAGCAUUCGACGAGUCGAGUUGUUUGGGAAUGCAGCUCUAAGUGGGUGGUAAAUUCCAUCUAAAGCUAAAUAUUGGCGAGAGACCGAUAGCGAACAAGUACAGUGAUGGAAAGAUGAAAAGAACUUUGAAAAGAGAGUGAAAAAGUACGUGAAAUUGUUGAAAGGGAAGGGCAUUUGAUCAGACAUGGUGUUUCGUGCUUCUUGCUCCUUGUGGGCGGGGAGACUCACACGGUUCACUGGGCCAACAUCAGUUUUGGCAGCAGGAUAAAACUUUGGGAACGUAGCUUUCUUCGGGAAGUGUUAUAGCCCUUGGCAAUACUGCUAGCCGGGAUUGAGGACUGCGCAUUUAUGCAAGGAUGUUGGCUUAAUGGUUAAAUGCCGCCCGU
RNAcentral lists this ribosomal RNA (606 nucleotides) under Saccharomycodes ludwigii. Its description in RNAcentral is "LSU rRNA". It matches the Rfam family "Eukaryotic large subunit ribosomal RNA", at positions 35 to 652 of the family's 3401-position model. The record is from RNAcentral. Lineage: Eukaryota; Fungi; Ascomycota; Saccharomycetes; Saccharomycodales; Saccharomycodaceae.